RNAcentral lists this ribosomal RNA (410 nucleotides) under Salmonella enterica subsp. enterica. Its description in RNAcentral is "bacterial SSU rRNA". It matches the Rfam family "Bacterial small subunit ribosomal RNA", at positions 1 to 407 of the family's 1533-position model. The record is from RNAcentral. Lineage: Bacteria; Pseudomonadati; Pseudomonadota; Gammaproteobacteria; Enterobacterales; Enterobacteriaceae.
AAAUUGAAGAGUUUGAUCAUGGCUCAGAUUGAACGCUGGCGGCAGGCCUAACACAUGCAAGUCGAACGGUAACAGGAAGCAGCUUGCUGCUUUGCUGACGAGUGGCGGACGGGUGAGUAAUGUCUGGGAAACUGCCUGAUGGAGGGGGAUAACUACUGGAAACGGUGGCUAAUACCGCAUAAUGUCGCAAGACCAAAGAGGGGGACCUUCGGGCCUCUUGCCAUCAGAUGUGCCCAGAUGGGAUUAGCUAGUUGGUGAGGUAACGGCUCACCAAGGCGACGAUCCCUAGCUGGUCUGAGAGGAUGACCAGCCACACUGGAACUGAGACACGGUCCAGACUCCUACGGGAGGCAGCAGUGGGGAAUAUUGCACAAUGGGCGCAAGCCUGAUGCAGCCAUGCCGCGUGUAUG